This 6216-nucleotide long non-coding RNA is filed under the name Musa acuminata (dwarf banana). Its description in RNAcentral is "long non-coding RNA (MACU_LNC003466)". Lineage: Eukaryota; Viridiplantae; Streptophyta; Magnoliopsida; Zingiberales; Musaceae. The record is from RNAcentral.
GUGUUUGGCCAUUUAUCACUAAGUCAUCUCACACUGACUGCUAUGUCAUUGCCAUGUCAAGAUGCAUGGAUUAUAAUGUGAGAUGGGCAACAACAGAAGUUGUGUCUGACAGAGCAAAACCCAGAUAAGUCAAGUGAUACAGUAAAACCACAAAUUAAAGAAAUUUCCUGAUACAUAAACACAAAAUAAACAAAUAGAUUCAUGAAUAUGUUGGCAUCAAUAUAGCACCGUGUUGUCACGAACGGUCGUCGCGCACCCGCAACAACUCCGUUCAACGAACCGUUCGUCACUCACACCUGCAUGUAUAGCUGCUUGACAGCAUGUUUUCUCUUGGUUUUGGGUAAUUUUGCUUGUAAAUAUGUAAGUUCGAACACACUGCAGCGUUACAAAGCGACUGCUCACCGAACCGAGCAAAACAGCCCCAAAACAGCUCCGUUUUCGCGUGCCGCGAGAGGUGAGCGGAGAACUGCCUCCGUUCACCAAAAUGUCAGCCAUCUCAGACCCCAGGAACCCCCCGGGUGGCACAGGGCUGGAUGGGGCUUCGGUUAUAUACCGAGCAUUGAACCCUCUUUCGCAAGUUCGUACGUGACCUUUACGGGAACUUGUCUUCGCGCCCGGGACCAGGUGAGCGGCUGUUUGUGGGCUUGCAGCUGUUCGUUCAUCCUUGAAAGCCUUGUUUUUCUCCCUCUCCCUCUUUUCUCUUGUGCACACAAGGUGUUCGUCGAAUUGCUUGUAAAGCUUCCAAUUUCGCGAGACUUCGGGACUAGUCCAUUGCUCGUUCUUUCGAACUAACUCUCUUUCUCUUUUACAGGUCCUUCGGGACCUACGAGAGGUUACAAAGUGGGCUGAUCCUUGCGGAGCAAUAUCGCAAGGGCGAAGCGCGACUUAGGCAACGCAAGCUAAGUUCGCGUCUUUGCCACAAGGGUGACUCGCGACUUAGGCGACGCAAGCUAAGUUUGCGUCUUUGGCCGCAAGGGUGCCUCACACCUUAGGCAACUCCAGCUAAGGUCGUGACAUUGUGGUAUCAGAGCGGGCAAGCUCUUCGAUCGAACAGCGAACGAACUUCGCAACUUCGCCAUGGCAAAGCAUCGUGGCGAAUCAAGCAAGACGGGGCAAGCCGGACCCUUGCCCCAAGCAGCCGCAGGUGGGCUGCAUGUGCACACUCGCUCUCAUGCUGUUGGAGCCGCUCAAGAGGACCGCGGUAGCGAACAAGAUGAGCGAGAAGUUGGCCACUCUCCGCGAGCGGAGGAAGCGCAAUCUGGUGCGCUAACUGGGAAAAAGAGUCAUAAGGAGAGACUCACGACGGCGGAAACCCGCCUGGAUGUUCUUGAAGCGAGCAUGGAGGAACUCUACCAUGGCCAACAAAGACUUGUUGGGGUAGAGAGCUCGCAAGAGGAAGCAAAGUCUAGGAUCGACAAGGUCGAGGCCCUAGUUGACCGACUGUCUGAUGACACUAAAGACUCCGUGCAACACUUACAGGAUGUUGUGGCGGAACUCACGGCAAAGGUGGCCAUGCUCACAAGAACACUAAAUGCGGGAGGAGGCAACACUCGCGUUGCACCGCCACAAAAUUUGAGGGCACCUGAGCCUCAUGGAUAUGGAGGGGCCAGAGAUGCCAAAGAGCUCGAGAACUUUCUGUUCGACAUGGAGCAAUACUUCCGAGCUAUGAGGCCCGAUUCUGAAGAUACCAAAGUUUCUAUAGCAACAAUGUAUCUGAACGGAGAUGCGAAACUUUGGUGGCGAACUCGUUGGGAAGAGAUCCAACAAGGUUGGUGUCGAGUCGACACAUGGGAGGACUUGAAGCGGGAGUUGAGAACUCAGUUCCUACCGAAGAACACAGAGUUCGUCGCAAGAAGGAAGUUGAGACAACUCCGCCAAAGCACCACCAUCCGAGACUAUGUGAAACAGUUUUCUGCACUAAUGCUGGACAUACAGGACAUGUCCGAGAAUGACAAGUUGUUCAGCUUCCUCGAUGGUUUGAAACCAUGGGCUCAACAGGAGCUAAAUCGAAGGAAUGUUACCGAUGUGGUCGGGGCAAUUGCUGUUGCAGAAAGGCUCACCGACUUUGUUUCCUCUGAAGACCCAGCGAGAAGGAAACAAUCUUCAGGCAAUCACCCUCCAAAACAUUCGUGAGGGAAGGAGCUCGGGGGCGAACAAAAGAAGAAGAGCUCUCACAAAGGGCCGAACCCGAAAGGCAAGGCCUCAAAACCUGGAGGAUGCUUCUUGUGCGGAGGACCGCACAUGGUAAGGGAGUGCCCACAAAAAUAGGCACUCAAUGCUUUGACGGCUUCCAUCCACCCCCCCGAUCGGACAAGGGCAAAGCUGUUGCCCUUAGCUCAAGCAGUUCUGAAUCCAGCAGCGACGAUGAGGAGUCGCAAGGACCCCGGAUGGGAGCAAUGCGUCUGUUGAACGCUAUGCGGGGUCAAGUGGGGGAGAACAUGAAGACCAAGGUACAAAAAGCAGGAAGUAGUGAACUGAUGUAUGUGGACAUCAAGCUGAAUGGCCAAACGACCCGUGCAAUGGUGGACACGGGCACUACCCACAACUUCAUAGCCGAUCGUGAAGCACAACGACUUGGGUUGACCUUGGAGAAGAGCCCAAGCCGAAUGAAGGCGGUGAACUCGGAGGCCAGGCGAAUCUCCGGGUUGGCGAAGGGAGUUCCCAUCAAAAUCGGGACUUGGAGCGGAAACACCAACAUGAUGGCCGUGCCACUGGACGACUUCCAAGUGAUUCUUGGAAUGGAGUUUAUGCACGCGGCGAAGUUGGUGCCGAUAUCGUUCUUGAACUCCCUAUGUAUGAUGGGAGGCGAUGACCCCUGCGUGGUUCCCGUCUCUCGGAGAGGAACCAAGGAGCCCCAACACAUUUCGGCCUUACAAUUGAAGAAAGGGGUGCGGAAAGGCGAACUGACAUUCGUGGCUGCUAUGAAGCUAGAGCCACUCAACGAGGAGGCCAUUCAAGAACCUGCUGUGGUGGCGAACGUCCUGAAAGAGUUCAAAGAUGUCAUGCCACCCGAGUUGCCGAAGACUCUUCCACCACGUAGAGGCGUGGAUCACAGUAUCGAGCUGGAACCAGGAGUGAAGCCUCCAGCAAGACCACCCUAUCGCAUGCCUCCACCAGAGUUGGCAGAACUCAGGAAGCAGUUAGGUGAACUGCUAAGCGGUGGUCUCAUCCGUAGCUCUAAAGCACCUUUCGGAGCUCCAGUUCUCUUCCAGAAGAAACAAGAUGGGAGUCUCCGAUUAUGCGUCGACUACAGAGCCCUCAGUAAAGUAACAGUGAAGAACAAGUAUCCCAUCCCGCUCAUCGCGGACUUGUUCGACCAAUUGGGCAAGGCUAAGUAUUUCUCAAAACUCGACCUUCGGUCGGGGUAUUGGCAGGUGCGCAUUGCUGAAGGCGACGAAGCGAAGACUACUUGUGUGACCAGGUAUGGAGCGUUUGAGUUCUUGGUGAUGCCUUUCGGCUUAACCAACGCUCCGGCCACAUUCUGUACUCUCAUGAACCAGCUAUUCAAGGAGUAUUUGGAUAAGUUCGUGAUUGUCUACCUGGACGAUAUCGUCGUCUACAGCCAAAUGCUCGAGGAGCACGUCAAGCACCUUCGGACGAUUUUCAAGGUUCUCAGGGAGAACACGUUGUUCGUAAAAAGGGAGAAAUGCUACUUUGCUCAAACUGAGAUCCUGUUCUUGGGGCACCGAAUCGGUGAUGGCUCCAUUCGGAUGGAUAAGUCGAAGGUGCAAGCCGUUGCGGAAUGGCGAACUCCAAAGAAGGUGCCAGAGUUGAGAUCCUUCCUUGGUUUCGUCAACUACUAUCGACGCUUCAUUGCGGGAUAUUCGAAGCGGGCAACCCCACUGACAGAGUUGCCGAAGAAGGAGCAGCCUUGGAAGUGGUCUGACAAAUGUGAGAUAGCAUUCCAAGAUCUGAAGGCUGCUGUUCUAGAAGAACCAGUACUCAAAUUGCCAAACUAUGGAGAGCCCUUUGAAGUCUAUACAGAUGCUUCGGACUUCGCUAUUGGGGGAGUACUCAUGCAGGAAGGUCAUCCGGUGGCCUACGAGAGCCGCAAACUCAACGAGACCGAGAGGCGGUACCCAGUGCAUGAGAAGGAGAUGACAGCCGUGAUCCACUGUCUACGAGUUUGGCGACACUACCUCCUCGGGUCGCGAUUUGUGCUGAGGACAGAUAACAUCGCCCUGAGCUAUUUCCAAACUCAGAAGAAGCUCUCCCCAAAGCAGGCACGGUGGCAGGACUUCCUGGCUGAAUUUGAUAUGGCAAUGGAGUACAAGCCUAGGAAGGCGAAUGUCGUGGCCGAUGCGCUGAGUCGGAAAGUGGAAUGCGUGAAUGCUGCACAACUGGAGGGUAGAGGCCAAGCAAGUCAGUUACACUCCAACUUCCUUUCCCGAAUCAAGGAUGGGCUGUAUAGUGAUCCCCAGGCAGUUAUCCUGAUGCAGCUCAUCAAAGAAGGCAAGGCACGACGAUUUUGGGUCCAGGAGGGAUUUGUUUACACAAAAGGGAAUAGGGUUUAUGUUCCCCGAGUGGACAAUUUAAGGCGUGAACUUUUAAAAGAGUGUCACGAUUCCCUUUGGGCUGGACACCCAGGUAUUCACAGAACGUUGGCUCUCGUGGAGAGGGCCUUGUACUGGCCGAAGAUGGGGACUGAUAUGGAGGAAUAUGUUCAAACAUGCCUUACUUGCCAACAAGACAAGGUGGAGCAGCGGAAGCCGGUGGGACUUUUGGAGCCGUUGCCCGUACCAGAAAGGCCGUGGGAGAGCAUUUCCUUAGACUUUAUAUCAAGCUUACCGCCUAUAGGGGGACUUGGAUCGAUACUCGUGGUGGUCGAUCGGUUUUCAAAGUAUGCAACUUUCAUCGCUGCACCCCUACACUGUUCAGCAGAGGAGGCGGCCAGGCUGAUGAUGAAGGAUGUGGUGAAGUAUUGGGGAGUCUCGCACAAUAUCAUUAGUGAUCGAGACGCUCGGUUCCUGGGACGAUUCUGGACCGAGCUAUUCAAAUUGUUGGGGUCAAAGUUAUACUUCUCUAUAAGCCUCCACCCCCAGACGGAUGGCCAGACUGAAAGAAUAAACUCGCUCUUGGAGCAAUAUCUCCGGCACUACGUGAGUGCUAAUCAACGAGAUUGGGUGAAGCUGUUGGACAUUGCCCAAUUCUCCUACAACUUGCAAUGGAGCUCUGCAUCCAACAAGAGCCCCUUCGAGAUUAUCACAGGACAACAACCGUCGACUCCGCACACCAUGGCAAUUGGGUAUACUGGGAGUAGUCCAUCAGCCUAUCAUUUCGCAAAGGAGUGGCAUCGAAAUGCAGAUAUUGCGCGGGCUUACUUGGAGAAGGCGGCAAAACAGAUGAAGAAGUGGGCAGACUUGGGAAGGCGACCACAAGAGUUCAAAGUUGGCGAUUUGGUGUUGGUAAAGCUCCAACCANNNNNNNNNNNNNNNNNNNNGUUGCAGCUGCCGGCGUGGUUCAAAAUUCACAACGUUCUUCACGCCAGCAACCUAAAAGCCUACCACUCGGAUCCGCAAGAUGCUUCCCGAAGUGUUCCAACUCGGCUACCUCCCAUCACAGCCUCCUACGAGAAGCGAGUGGAAACCAUUCUGACGGAUCGCAAGAUAAAGCUACCCAACGGAGCUGAGCAGACAGAGUACUUGGUGAAGUGGCGAAAGCUUCCCCGAACUGAAGCCAGUUGGGAGCCUGAAGACGCCCUGCGACAUGAAGAAGAAGUCAUCAACAACUACCAACAAGUGUCGACGAGGGCGUCGACAGUUUAAGUGGGGGAGAAUGUCACGAACGGUCGUCGCGCACCCGCAACAACUCCGUUCAACGAACCGUUCGUCGCUCACACCUGCAUGUACAACUGCUUGACAGCAUGUUUUCUCUUGGUUUUGGGUCAUUUUGCUUGUAAAUAUGUAAGUUCGAACACGCUGCAGCGUUACAAAGCGACCGCUCACCGAACCGAGCAAAACAGCCCCAAAACAGCCCAAAACAGCUCCGUUUUCGCGUGCCGCAGGAGGUGAGCGGAGAACUGCCUCUGCUCACCAAAAUGUCAGCCAUCUCAAACCCCAGGAACCCCCCGGGUGGCACAGGGCUAGAUGGGGCUUCGGUUAUAUACCGGGCGUUGAACUCUCUUUCGCAAGUUCGCACGUGACCUUUACGGGAACUUGUCUUCGCGCCCGGGACUAGGUGAGCGGCUGUUUGUGGGCUUGCAGCUGUUCGUUCAUC